CAGUAGUUGUGUGUUGUGGUCAGUAGUUGUGGUCAGUAGAUGUGGUCAGUGGUUUUGUGGUCAGUAGAUGUGGUCAGUAGUUGUGUAGUUGUGUGUUGUGGUCAGUAGUUGUGGUCAGUAGAUGUGGUCAGUAGAUGUGGUCAGUGGUUUUGUGGUCAGUAGAUGUGGUCAGUAGAUGUGUGGUUUAGUUGUGGUCAGUAGUUGUGGUCAGUAGACGUGUGGUUGUUGUCAGUAGUUAUGAUCAGUAGAUGUGUAGUUGUGGUCAGUAGUUGUGUGUUGUGGUCAGUAGAUGUGAUCAGUAGUUGUGGUCAGUAGAUGUGUAGUUGUGGUCAGUAGUUGUGGUCAGUAGUUGUGGUCAGUAGAUGUGGGCAGUAGUUGUGGUCAGUAGUUGUGUAGUUGUCAGUAUUUAUGGUCAGUAAUUGUGUGUUGUGGUCAGUAGUUUUGUCAGUGGUGGUCAGUAGUUUUGAAAAGUAGGUGUGUGGUUCAGUAUUUGUGGUUAUUAGUUUUGUGGUUGUGGUCAGUAGUUG
RNAcentral lists this long non-coding RNA (527 nucleotides) under Salmo salar (Atlantic salmon). RNAcentral describes it as "lncRNA (ENSSSAG00000104766.1)". The record is from RNAcentral. Lineage: Eukaryota; Metazoa; Chordata; Actinopteri; Salmoniformes; Salmonidae.